Long non-coding RNA from Amphiprion ocellaris (clown anemonefish), 536 nucleotides. NCBI's taxonomy places the organism in Eukaryota, Metazoa, Chordata, Actinopteri, Pomacentridae. The record is from Ensembl.
GACAGUGAAGCACGGAGGUGGGAGUCUCUUUGUUCCACCAUCUACCAUGAGGCCGAAAGCUUAACGUACCGUAAUUACAAGUCCUGUGACUCAGAAGACACCAUCAAAGCCUGAGUCUGAGUGGCCAGAAUGUGCAGAAUGUGUCUGUUGACGACAACUGCAGGUGACACGAGAGACAAUACCGAUGCACAAACAGCGUGGAAAGGUCAACCUGCGGUCAGCCUCCAGAACUAUACGACCCCAGAGUUCACAGGUCACCAAGUCCUGAGGAUGGCAGAUGAGAUGCUCUAAGGUGUAACAUCAUUACGAGGGCAGCCUCUGGAUCGCUGUGACGACACUCCACCCACAAAGAGAGGCGAUGGGGAAAACAGCAAGCAGAAACAAAAUACUUCACACACCCCUCUCCCCGAGAGCUGACUUGAUUGAGGCCAGUCGCAGAACAAGAGAGAUGAAGGAAGGGCAGGGAAGCAGUUAAUACAAAACAAAUGAAGGAAAUGGAUUAAAUCUUGCUGUUUUAUUAAAUCUGAAAUUCAAAU